AUGGCAUGGGAGAAAAUUAUUCAGCCAAAGGCUAGGGGGGGAUUGGGUUUUCGUGAUUACAGAAUCUUUAAUCAAGCUUUACUAGCCCGGCAGGCGUGGCGGCUUCUCGUCAAUCCGGACAGCCUAUGUGCGAGAGUCUUAAAAGCUAAGUAUUAUCCUAACGGUCGUUUGGAAGACACCGUGUUUGCAGGGAACGCCUCAUCGUCAUGGCAAGCGAUCACGUACGGGCUUGAGCUGUUGAAGAAGGGUCUUGUGUGGCGGGUCGGCAAUGGCCAGAAUGUCAGAAUCUUGCGAGAUCCCUGGCUUCCUCGACCACCAUCAUACAGACCCGUCACCGUGCAAGGAAGAUGCAGAUUGCGACGUGUAGCUGACCUGCUCAGCGCGCAUGGAACCUGGGAUGUGGAUCUUCUCCGCCAAUACUUCGUGUCACCGGACGUUGAGGAAAUUCUUCGCAUCAGGCCAGCACCAAGCCUUGAUGAUGUGCUACCAUGGGCACCGGAUCCCAAAGGCGUCUUCUCUGUACGGAGCGCAUAUAAGAUCGCCCUCGACGACAAAUCCCGCACAUCUACGUGCGCCAUGAGCAGGGCACCGGACGGCAAUCGCGCCGUCUGGACGGCAUUGUGGGGGUGCCCUGCUCCCCCAAAGGUACGGGUUUUCGGCUGGCGUUUGGCGACUGAUUCCUUGGCCACUAUGCAAUAUAAAUUUAAGAGGCACAUUGAAAGAUCUGACAUAUGUACCAUUUGUGGUGUUGAACCGGAGGACAACUUCCAUGUUGUCUGCAGAUGCCCGAUGGCGCCAGCAUUGUGGGAGGCCAUGCGCGAGUCAUGGCCACUGCCAGACCUGAACAGCCUCAACAACUCGGGCCCUGACUGGCUGCUGCAGCUACUUGACAAGAGCACGGAGAUAGAACGCCUCGUCAUCCUGAUGACCUUUUGGCGGGCAUGGCACUGUUGA
Molecule: ribosomal RNA, 954 nt
Filed under: Triticum aestivum (bread wheat)
Lineage: Eukaryota; Viridiplantae; Streptophyta; Magnoliopsida; Poales; Poaceae
Description: partial small subunit ribosomal RNA
Source: RNAcentral